This 231-nucleotide long non-coding RNA is filed under the name Manihot esculenta (cassava). Its description in RNAcentral is "long non-coding RNA (MESC_LNC004766)". Lineage: Eukaryota; Viridiplantae; Streptophyta; Magnoliopsida; Malpighiales; Euphorbiaceae. The record is from RNAcentral.
GCCACUACUCUGCGAUACGGCUGGAGCUGCUGGCUGUACUACACUGCCUGAACUCAUCUGCUGGGAUGGUGCAAAAGUCACCUGAGGACAAUCCCGAGCAAAAUGCCCUUCUUGUCCACACCUAAAACAGGCUGAAGAUCCCAACUGACAAGCUCCCUUGUGUGGUCUCCCACAUCUUCUACAUACUGGACUGCUUACGCCAGAGCUUGAGCCACUACCCAUUCCCAGACC